RNAcentral lists this ribosomal RNA (500 nucleotides) under uncultured bacterium. Its description in RNAcentral is "partial 16S ribosomal RNA". It matches the Rfam family "Bacterial small subunit ribosomal RNA", at positions 30 to 523 of the family's 1533-position model. The record is from RNAcentral.
AUUGAACGCUGGCGGAAUGCUUUACACAUGCAAGUCGAACGGCAGCACGGACUUCGGUCUGGUGGCGAGUGGCGAACGGGUGAGUAAUACAUCGGAACGUGCCCAGUCGUGGGGGAUAACGUAGCGAAAGCUACGCUAAUACCGCAUACGAUCUAAGGAUGAAAGCGGGGGAUCGCAAGACCUCGCGCGAUUGGAGCGGCCGAUGGCAGAUUAGGUAGUUGGGGGGGUAAAGGCUCACCAAGCCGACGAUCUGUAGCUGGUCUGAGGGGACGACAGACCACACUGGGACUGAGACACGGCCCAGACUCCUACGGGAGUCAGCAGUGGUGAAGUUUGGACAAUGGGCGCAAGCCUGAUCCAGCCAUUCCGCGUGCAGGAUGAAGGCCCUCGGGUUGUAAACUGCUUUUGUACGGAACGAAAAGGCUCUGGUUAAUACCUGGGGCUCAUGACGGUACCGUAAGAAUAAGCACCGGCUAACUACGUGCCAGCCGCCGCCGUAA